RNAcentral lists this ribosomal RNA (231 nucleotides) under Klebsiella aerogenes. Its description in RNAcentral is "partial 23S ribosomal RNA". It matches the Rfam family "Bacterial large subunit ribosomal RNA", at positions 1 to 232 of the family's 2925-position model. Lineage: Bacteria; Pseudomonadati; Pseudomonadota; Gammaproteobacteria; Enterobacterales; Enterobacteriaceae. RNAcentral also lists the same sequence under 5 other names. The record is from RNAcentral.
GGUUAAGCGACUAAGCGUACACGGUGGAUGCCCUGGCAGUCAGAGGCGAUGAAGGACGUGCUAAUCUGCGAAAAGCGUCGGUAAGGUGAUAUGAACCGUUACAGCCGGCGAUGUCCGAAUGGGGAAACCCAGUGUGAUUCGUCACACUAUCGUUAACUGAAUACAUAGGUUAACGAGGCGAACCGGGGGAACUGAAACAUCUAAGUACCCCGAGGAAAAGAAAUCAACCGA